This 273-nucleotide unclassified non-coding RNA is filed under the name Hevea brasiliensis (rubber tree). The record is from RNAcentral. Lineage: Eukaryota; Viridiplantae; Streptophyta; Magnoliopsida; Malpighiales; Euphorbiaceae.
GAGUUGAGUUGAGUUGAGUUUUGAUUAUAUGAUUGGAAAUGUAAUGUGUUUUAAUGAAACUCUAGGUUUCAACUUGCAAAAUUUUUUCCAUGCAUUAUACAAAAUGAAUAUUCUCCUACAUCAGGCGUGACAGAUCUAUACCACUCAGAAAUUCAAAAGUGAAUGCUGCAAGGUUUGCUGCGUUGAGUCGUCGACAUGUUCACGGUUAACCUACCUUCUCGUUAGAUGGUUUUUGUCCCCUUAUGGUUGCUUUUCCAAUUUUGUUUAUUUUUU